GUAGGGAAUAUUGCGCAAUGGGGGAAACCCUGACGCAGCAACGCCGCGUGAGUGAGGAAGGUCUUCGGAUUGUAAAACUCUGUUCUUAGAGAAAAAUGACUUAGGGGCUAAUAUCCCCUAGGAGUGAUGGUAUCUAAGGAGAAAGGACCGGCUAACUUCGUGCCAGCAGCCGCGGUAAUACGAAGGGUCCAAGCGUUGUUCGGAUUUAUUGGGCGUAAAGCGCGCGCAGGCGGAUCAGUAAGUCAGGUGUGAAAUCUCGAAGCUCAACUUCGAAACUGCGCCUGAAACUACUAGUCUAGAAUAUCAGAGGGGGUAGGGGAAUUUCACGUGUAGGGGUAAAAUCCGUAGAGAUGUGAAGGAACACCGGAGGCGAAGGCGCCUACCUGGAUGAUUAUUGACGCUGAGGCGCGAAAGCGUGGGGAGCAAACAGGAUUAGAUACCCUAGUAGUCC
RNAcentral lists this ribosomal RNA (451 nucleotides) under uncultured bacterium. RNAcentral's name for it is "partial 16S ribosomal RNA". It matches the Rfam family "Bacterial small subunit ribosomal RNA", at positions 354 to 796 of the family's 1533-position model. The record is from RNAcentral.